RNAcentral lists this transfer RNA (68 nucleotides) under Petamella prosternalis. Its description in RNAcentral is "tRNA-Thr". It matches the Rfam family "tRNA". From Rfam's summary of the family: Transfer RNA (tRNA) molecules are approximately 80 nucleotides in length. Their secondary structure includes four short double-helical elements and three loops (D, anti-codon, and T loops). The record is from RNAcentral. Lineage: Eukaryota; Metazoa; Arthropoda; Insecta; Orthoptera; Acrididae.
GUUUUAAUAGUUUUUCAACAAAACGUCGGUCUUGUAAACCGGAAAUAAGAUGUGCCCCUUUUAAAACU